CAGGAUGAACGCUGGCGGCGUGCCUAACACAUGCAAGUCGAGCGAUGAAACCGCCCUCGGGCGGACAUGAAGCGGCGAACGGGUGAGUAACACGUGACCGACCUGCCCCCCGCCCAGGGACAGCCCCCCGAAAGGGGGAUUAAUACCUGGUACUCCGGCAAGGACGCAUGUCCUGGCCGGGAAAGCCUUGGCGGCGGGGGAUGGGGUCGCGGCCCAUCAGGUAGACGGCGGGGCAGAGGCCCACCGUGCCGACGACGGGUAGCCGGGUUGAGAGACCGACCGGCCACAUUGGGACUGAGAUACGGCCCAGACUCCUACGGGAGGCAGCAGUGGGGAAUUUUGCGCAAUGGGGGCAACCCUGACGCAGCAACGCCGCGUGCGGGACGAAGGCGUCCGCGUCGUAAACCGCUUUCAGCGGGGAACACUUCAACGAGGGUACCCGCAGAAGAAGCCCCGGCUAAAUACGUGCCAGCAGCCGCGGUAAUACGUAUGGGGCGAGCGUUAUCCGGAUUCAUUGGGCGUAAAGCGCGCGUAGGCGGAGCGCUAAGCGGGACCUCUAACCCGAGGGCUCAACCCCCGGCCGGGUCCCGAACUGGCGCUCUCGAGUGCGGUAGGGGAGAGCGGAAUUCCCGGUGUAGCGGUGGAAUGCGCAGAUAUCGGGAGGAACACCGACGGCGAAGGCAGCUCUCUGGGCCGAAACUGACGCUGAGGCGCGAAAGCUGGGGGAGCGAACAGGAUUAGAUACCCUGGUAGUCCCAGCCGUAAACGAUGGGCGCUAGGUGUGGGGGAGCAGAUCCUCCGCGCCGCAGCCAACGCGUUAAGCGCCCCGCCUGGGGA
RNAcentral lists this ribosomal RNA (837 nucleotides) under uncultured bacterium. RNAcentral describes it as "bacterial SSU rRNA". It matches the Rfam family "Bacterial small subunit ribosomal RNA", at positions 25 to 879 of the family's 1533-position model. The record is from RNAcentral.